RNAcentral lists this ribosomal RNA (441 nucleotides) under uncultured bacterium. RNAcentral's name for it is "partial 16S ribosomal RNA". It matches the Rfam family "Bacterial small subunit ribosomal RNA", at positions 338 to 795 of the family's 1533-position model. The record is from RNAcentral.
CCUACGGGUGGCAGCAGUGGGGAAUAUUGCACAAUGGGGGAAACCCUGAUGCAGCGACGCCGCGUGAGUGAAGAAGUAUUUCGGUAUGUAAAGCUCUAUCAGCAGGAACGAGACAAGACGGUACCUGACUAAGAAGCCCCGGCUAACUACGUGCCAGCAGCCGCGGUAAUACGUAGGGGGCAAGCGUUAUCCGGAAUCACUGGGUGUAAAGGGAGCGUAGACGGCUGUGCAAGCCUGAAGUGAAAGGCGGGGGUCCAACCCCUGGACUGCUUUGGGAACUGUACGGCUGGAGUGCAGGAGAGGUAAGUGGAAUUCCUAGUGUAGCGGUGAAAUGCGUAGAUAUUAGGAGGAACACCAGUGGCGAAGGCGGCUUACUGGACUGUAACUGACGUUGAGGCUCGAAAGCGUGGGGAGCAAACAGGAUUAGAUACCCCAGUAGUC